CCGGUGCAGCGGAGACAAAGCAGUGGAUGCAGAAUUUCCUUCGUUGUUCGCCUGGUUUAUUAAAAAGGAAGCGGGCAAUAUUUCUAACCGAUUCGGAAAAAAAGUUGCCAAAUGCAUAAAACCUAAUGAGAGUGGAUCCGGAGUCGUGGAUUAUUUCAGAUUCUGCUCCACGCACAAACAUAUGUAAAAUCACACACAAGACCCACCUUUGUCUCUUUGGUUGGAGGUACAGUUGCAAAACCUGUCGAAAUAGGCGUUUUUUCGGGAAAGUCCUGCUCUUUCUCCGCUCCCGGAUACUCUGCCCAAAUUUAAGUCUUGAGUAUUUCUGUGUGUGAGACUGCGUGUUUGCUUCACUCCCCUAUUGUCUACAUAGGUGGCACCGGCUGCACCCGGCAGUAGAACCGCGACGCAGAUUGCACUCCAUGGGCGGCUAGCUGCGUCACUGCCAGCUUCGCCAGCCAGCCCACCUCCUGGGCUGCGCUUGCUGCAGCUGCAGCCAAUGAAACCACAGGCACCAUCAAACCGGGAGAAAGUGCAUCUGUCUGUCUGUAAGUGGAGAGCGCGGGAGAAGUAGCGGGCAUAAUGGCAAUGGAACACAGGGUGAACCGUUGCUAAGUGGCCGGACAAUGGCAGUAGAAUGCUGUGUGAACGGUUGUUAAGUGGCAAUCGAACGCCGGGUGAAUCAUUGCUACGUGGCAAUGGAACACCAGGUGAACCGUUACAAAGUCGCGGGCCACUGGAAAUGGAACGCCGAGUGAACCGUUGCAAAGUAGCGGGAUAUUGGCAGUGGAACGCCGGGUGAACCGUUGCAAAGUAGCGGGACAGUGGCAAAGGAAUGCCGGGUGAAUCGUUCCUACAUUGCAAUGGAACGCCGGGUGAACCGUUGCAAAACAGCGGGACAAUGGCAAUGGAAUGCCGGGCGAACCGUUGCUACAUUGCAAUGGAACGCCGGAUGAACCGUUGCAAACUAGCGGGACAAUGGCAAUGGAACGCCGGGUGAAUCGUUGUUAAGUGGCAAUGGAAUGCCUGGUGAACCCUUGCCAAGUGGCGGGAAAAUGGCAAUGGAACGCCGGGUGAACCGUUGCAAAGUAGUGGGACAGAGGCAAUGGAACGCCGAGUGAACUGAUGCUCAGCAACGGCUGGAACAUGGCCGGUGUGUCGUGGCCCUUGCUAAGCAGCGUUGACCCCCUACGUCGUCGAUCGAGGUGACAGCGAUGGCUCGAGUUGUCGGGGUGUUGCAGACUGGGAUAUGGGAUUGUAACCAGGAUUUUGUUCCACCUAUCCCCCUGUAAGAUGAUCUGAGCCUUGACACUAACUCCUUCCCCUCGGGUCACAUACUGCACGCGGGACUGAAUGCGGUUUCAUAAAACUAAAACAGAGGGAUACAAUUGUUUAGGCAACGCCACUGGGGCUCUGUUAAUGCAGAGAGUACAAGGGAACGUGACCACCAUUGGCAAAGGCAGCAUUUCGCUGCUCAUCUCUAACUGCUUUUCAGAAACGAAGGUGGAUUCUGAGCCAUCUUGUUUAAUUUGUCCAUGAGGUGCAGGAAUAUCCAUAAUACUGUAAUGUGCCAUUAUCAGGAUUCUGAAGUCGCCAAAGUAUUUAUGUGGCUGCAUAGGUUAAGUUUCUGGUCACUGGGGAUUCAAGCCCUUUUAAUACCAGUGGAUGUAAAGGGUAGAUGUUAAGUUGGCUGUUAGAGAUGGCUAUUGCCUGGUAAUUGUGCAUUGCAAAUAUUACUUAUAAUUUAUUAGCCCAAGCUUGGACACUGCUCGUGUCUUGCUACAUGCAGACACAAACUGUUUCAGUAUGUGGAAAAUUGCAAUCGUAUCGAAUACUUUGCAAUCAUCAGCAAACAUCUCCACAUGCGACCUUUUGUUGCAGGGAAGGUCAUUGAUGAAGCUGAAGAUGGUUGGGCAUAGAAGACUAUCCUCGUUAUGACCAGAUUCCAGAAGAGUUCCUAAUUUGUUAUGAUCAAAUCACGGGUGAUGUUCCCUAAAUUAUCAUUGUUCUAGGAUUCCCAGUGUGUCGAGCAAGAUGAAGGAAAUAUUUAAAAUUACUGCAUAUGCUAAAAUUGGAUGCAGAAUGUUGGAAACAAUCAGCUGUAAGUAUAGUAAUGGACUUGGGUCCCAGAUGUGACUGCAUCAGUCACACGCUGCAGCAUGUCACUGGUAGCUGCCAGUGGUGAAGGCCAAAGUAAAUCUGUGACAACAGAUAUGCUGAAAUGAAUCACUUUUCACAGAGGAUGGAAUCUGAUGGCUGGUGAUCAUAAAGGAAAGCCUAAACAGCAUCCCUCAUCUAAUGCUGCUCCGCAAGUUGUACACCUGGUUCAGUUUCUAAUCCCACAUAUCUCACCUUCUCAUUGGAUUCAGGCACAAGGCACUUGAUCUCUUUAUGUCUAUCCAGAAAUCUCUGGAAGUCUUUACUGCUGAUAGUAAAUGUUUCUGCAUGUCUCAGAGCUUCUUCUCCAGCAUUUUCUCCGUCAAUCAAUAAACAUUGGAAUACCUGUAUUGAUAAAAAUAAUUUUAAAUUUCAAUUUACUAUACUUGAUAUUAUAAAUGUAACUACUCAUGUGAGGUCCCCAAAACAUGUUGUUCAGUUACCUGAGAGAUCAUGCAUUGUAUUUGUAUUUCUCAUGCCACCUCUCUAAGAGACUGAAGUAAAGCUGCCUUAUUAUUGUCAGUUAGUACGACAUUAUAGGUGGUGUAAAAACCUGCUGAGCUUCUCCAGCAACUUUGCUUUUAUUGUAGGUGGUGUGUUGUUGCACACUUGAAUGCAAGAUUGAAUCCAAAAUUGAUAAAAACAAAUUUCACACACUUUCAUUUUUGCAGCGACAGAGAAAGUGAAAAUACAUUCAAUCAUUUUCAACAGGACUUUAAACAAAGACACAGAAGCAGAACGAUAAGGCAGUGAACCACCAGCUAUGAUAUUAUCACCGUAGUCCAUCAUUGUCGUUUGGCUAACGUUGAGGCUAGGAAGUAAACUUGUUAUUCAGCAGUGGAUGUUUCCAUGAUCACCACAACUGAAUGCAGAAUCUUCUGAAAUAACCUACUCCUUGCCAUUUUAGUUCGAAAUAUAUAUAUUGCAUGGGCAGAUUUCUACAAAAGCACAAUAUGAUACUCUUAAGUAAAGUUUUGCUUCCUCCUGCUCCUCUCAUGGGUUUCUUUAUAUUUAAUAAAACAUCUACAUAUUCUCACUGUUAGAAGGGAAAGAUACUAGAAACAGGCUUCAGUAAUGAUCACUACUAAAUAAAACAGCACAACUCAAAUUCUAAGACUUAAAAUAACUUGGUUUUCACAAAACCACCGACAUUUAAACUUACAAGGGAGACAAUCCACUGAAUACUAUGGAUAUAAAGAGCUCCAUUUUCUGAAGUUAAGCUAUUCAUGUUACCUAUAUUGAAGGUUUUACCUAUAUUAAUUUGGUUUGAAAAUUUCACCUAAGCACCAGCUGAA
Molecule: long non-coding RNA, 3452 nt
Organism: Stegostoma tigrinum
Lineage: Eukaryota; Metazoa; Chordata; Chondrichthyes; Orectolobiformes; Stegostomatidae
Exons: 3
Source: RefSeq, a predicted model, not a curated record